UGGGGAAUAUUGCACAAUGGGGGAAACCCUGAUGCAGCAACGCCGCGUGAAUGAUGACGGCCUUCGGGUUGUAAAGUUCUUUGAUUGGGGACGAAAAUGACGGUACCCAAAAAACAAGCCACGGCUAACUACGUGCCAGCAGCCGCGGUAAUACGUAGGUGGCGAGCGUUGUCCGGAUUUACUGGGCGUAAAGGAUGCGUAGGUGGUAACUUAAGUGGGAUGUGAAAUCCCCGGGCUCAACCCGGGAACUGCAGUCCAAACUGAGUAACUAGAGUGCAGGAGAGGAAAGCGGAAUUCCUAGUGUAGCGGUGAAAUGCGUAGAUAUUAGGAGGAACACCAGUGGCGAAGGCGGCUUUCUGGACUGUAACUGACACUGAGGCAUGAAAGCGUGGGGAGCAAACA
Molecule: ribosomal RNA, 402 nt
Filed under: uncultured prokaryote
Description: bacterial SSU rRNA
Rfam family: Bacterial small subunit ribosomal RNA
Source: RNAcentral